UGACCUAUGAAAUAUACUUCCAUUCUUCUGGGUGGUGGCAAACACUUUAUUUUCUCAUCCUCCCAGGAUGCAAGAGAAAAUAUUUACAUUCCCUUUUUGCUGAAGCAGCAAAGCCAUCAGGUUUCCCAAUCUGGAAAGUCCCGAUGUGCACGUUUGGGCCUAUGCUGGAGACGCCAAAGUGAGAAGCGUGGCCUGCGUCGGAGCAGAGUUUCCAGUGCCAUAGCCGGUGUGGCACGUCUGGGACAUGUCUGAGCCCCGGCCGCCCUGGCUCUGAAAGGCCUAGAAGGAGCUGGAGGCGGCUCAGGAAUGCUGAGAUCCGGAGCUCCUCUGCACACUCACUGACCUGUUGCUACGGUGACGGUGACGUGCAGAAGCAGUGACACCCGCCUGAGCUGCAGCCCUGUCCACAGAAGGCAGAGAAGAGAGAGCUCAGCCCCGAGAGCCAAGAGCCGGAUGGGAAGUCACCUCGUGUCCAUGGACAGGAGUAUGGGGCCCAGAGUCCUUGGAAGCCUGUAUCUGAGAACCAUCUGGAUCAUAUUAUACAUUGAUUUGUUCUUGGCUUUGAAGAUGGUUUUAGUGUUGAUGCAACCUCAUUAAAAGUAUCUGCUAAAACA
Long non-coding RNA from Neofelis nebulosa (Clouded leopard), 614 nucleotides. RefSeq lists it as uncharacterized. Lineage: Eukaryota; Metazoa; Chordata; Mammalia; Carnivora; Felidae. The transcript is spliced from 2 exons. The record is from RefSeq and is a predicted model, not a curated record.